UUGGAGGGCAAGUCUGGUGCCAGCAGCCGCGGAUAAUUCCAGCUCCAAUAGCGUAUAUUAAAGUUGUUGCAGUUAAAAAGCUCGUAGUUGAAUUUCGGGGUUCUACCGUUGGUCGGGCAAUAGUCUGUACUGGCGUGUAGAAUUUCUACCUUCUGGGGAACUAUCAUGUUAUUUAUUUAGCGUGGUAGGAAACCAGGACCUUUACCUUGAAAAAAUUAGAGUGUUCAAAGCAGGCUUACGUCUGAAUACAUUAGCAUGGAAUAAUAAAAUAGGACGGUGGUCCUGUUUUGUUGGUUUCUGAAUCACCGUAAUGAUUAAUAGGGAUAGUUGGGGGCAUUAGUAUUCAAUUGUCAGAGGUGAAAUUCUUGGAUUUAUUGAAGACUAACUUCUGCGAAAGCAUUUGCCAAGGAUGUUUUCAUUAAUCAAAGAACGAAAGUUAGGGGAUCGAAGACGAUCGGAUACCGUCGUAAGUCUUAACCAUAAACUAUACCGACUAGGGAUCGGACGAUGUUAAUUUUUCUUGACUCGUUCCGGCACCUUACUGGUAAAC
Molecule: ribosomal RNA, 550 nt
Filed under: uncultured Gigasporaceae
Lineage: Eukaryota; Fungi; Glomeromycota; Glomeromycetes; Diversisporales; Gigasporaceae
Description: SSU rRNA
Rfam family: Eukaryotic small subunit ribosomal RNA
Source: RNAcentral